Long non-coding RNA from Clupea harengus (Atlantic herring), 1075 nucleotides. RefSeq lists it as uncharacterized. The transcript is spliced from 4 exons. The record is from RefSeq and is a predicted model, not a curated record. Lineage: Eukaryota; Metazoa; Chordata; Actinopteri; Clupeiformes; Clupeidae.
AUUACAUACAUUGCUGUAACACAGAACACAUAUGAUGCGGAUGAUUGGUACGUGUGGUUUGUGCUUGUCCUGGGUGCGCUCCUGCUUUUGGGCAUCUUGGCAUAUCUGCUGUAUAGAUGCUGCAGAUAUCUCUCUACUAAAGAGUGUAAUUGCUCCUGCGAUUGCUGUGAACCCAAACACAUGGAGGAUGAAGACACCCUCAUUCCAUAUAAAGAUCCUCCAAAACGUGAAGUAUUGAUGGAGGUGACCAAGAUCAACACAAUAUUUGAUGGAGAGGAAGUCGAUCCAGGUGAUGGUUCAUUUGCCAUUGAACCAACUUGGUUAUAUGUUUCGACAUGGCAUCAAGUAUUAAUGACAAUCUCUGGUGUGUUCGUUUCCAGUUACGAAGAGGGUGUAUGAAUACAACAGCAAGUCUGGUGCCCGCCGCUGGAAGGACGCCAUUAUUAUGACUGGCCUGCCACAGACACAACCAGGCAGCAGCACUCUGGUAAUCUCCCAGAAGGCUGGCACUCCUGAGCAGCCACCAGGAACUGCCCAGUCACAAACAUCAAAUGCUGAGAGGCUGGGCUCUGCCCAGUCAGUGGACUGGCCGGGCGACAGGGUGCAGACCUCACAAAACCAUCUGCAAACCUUAAGUGAUAGACCAAACGUUAAGCCAGGCACUGUCCCCAUGACAGCUGAGGGUAUGUCAGAGGUGUAGGGCAAAAAUAGUUUGUACAGCAGAGGAAUUAGUCAAGUAUUGUCCAACGUGACAAAAGUCACUCUGCGUUUGAAUUAUUGCUAUUCAUCAUAUUAUUAUACUGGCAAAGUUUUGCUUGUAACUACAAAUGAGAAAAUUAUCUGGUUAAAUUAAUACAAAUGGUACUUGAGGUGUCUUAAAUUUCUUUUCAGGUUUAAAAUGCAAGUAAUUAGCAUAUUAUGAUUGAUUAUACUUAUUAUACUUUUAAUUCACAACAUUUGUGAAUUAAAAAACAUGUCACAACAAAACAGUAUGGGUUUCCAUUACUUUUCUUAGAGGAUAACUCCGUGUGUGUGAUAAAAAUAAACAGAAUUUCCAGUUUAGGAACCUGAGUAG